GGGUUGUGAGGUUAAGCGACUAAGCGUACACGGUGGAUGCCCUGGCAGUCAGAGGCGAUGAAGGGCGUGCUAAUCUGCGAUAAGCGCCGGUAAGGUGAUAUGAACCGUUAUAACCGGCGAUACCCGAAUGGGGAAACCCAGUGUGACUCGUCACACUAUCAUUAACUGAAUCCAUAGGUUAAUGAGGCGAACCGGGGGAACUGAAACAUCUAAGUACCCCGAGGAAAAGAAAUCAACCGAGAUUCCCUCAGUAGCGGCGAGCGAACGGGGAGGAGCCCAGAGCCUGAAUCAGCAUGUGUGUUAGUGGAAGCGUCUGGAAAGGCGCGCGAUACAGGGUGACAGCCCCGUACACAAAAGCGCAUAUGCUGUGAGCUCGAUGAGUAGGGCGGGACACGUGGUAUCCUGUCUGAAUAUGGGGGGACCAUCCUCCAAGGCUAAAUACUCCUGACUGACCGAUAGUGAACCAGUACCGUGAGGGAAAGGCGAAAAGAACCCCGGCGAGGGGAGUGAAAAAGAACCUGAAACCGUGUACGUACAAGCAGUGGGAGCACCCUUUGGGGUGUGACUGCGUACCUUUUGUAUAAUGGGUCAGCGACUUAUAUUCUGUAGCAAGGUUAACCGAAUAGGGGAGCCGGAGGGAAACCGAGUCUUAAUUGGGCGUUAAGUUGCAGGGUAUAGACCCGAAACCCGGUGAUCUAGCCAUGGGCAGGUUGAAGGUUGGGUAACACUAACUGGAGGACCGAACCGACUAAUGUUGAAAAAUUAGCGGAUGACCUGUGGCUGGGGGUGAAAGGCCAAUCAAACCGGGAGAUAGCUGGUUCUCCCCGAAAGCUAUUUAGGUAGCGCCUCGUGAAUUCAUCUCCGGGGGUAGAGCACUGUUUCGGCUAGGGGGCCAUCCCGGCUUACCAACCCGAUGCAAACUGCGAAUACCGGAGAAUGUUAUCACGGGAGACACACGGCGGGUGCUAACGUCCGUCGUGAAGAGGGAAACAACCCAGACCGCCAGCUAAGGUCCCAAAGUCAUGGUUAAGUGGGAAACGAUGUGGGAAGGCCCAGACAGCCAGGAUGUUGGCUUAGAAGCAGCCAUCAUUUAAAGAAAGCGUAAUAGCUCACUGGUCGAGUCGGCCUGCGCGGAAGAUGUAACGGGGCUAAACCAUGCACCGAAGCUGCGGCAGCGACGCUGAUGCGUUGUUGGGUAGGGGAGCGUUCUGUAAGCCUGUGAAGGUGUGCUGUGAGGCAUGCUGGAGGUAUCAGAAGUGCGAAUGCUGACAUAAGUAACGAUAAAGCGGGUGAAAAGCCCGCUCGCCGGAAGACCAAGGGUUCCUGUCCAACGUUAAUCGGGGCAGGGUGAGUCGACCCCUAAGGCGAGGCCGAAAGGCGUAGUCGAUGGGAAACGGGUUAAUAUUCCCGUACUUGGUGUUACUGCGAAGGGGGGACGGAGAAGGCUAUGUUGGCCGGGCGACGGUUGUCCCGGUUUAAGCGUGUAGGUGUGUGUUCCAGGUAAAUCCGGUUCACUUUAACACUGAGGCGUGACGACGAGGCACUACGGUGCUGAAGCAACAAAUGCCCUGCUUCCAGGAAAAGCCUCUAAGCAUCAGGUAACACGAAAUCGUACCCCAAACCGACACAGGUGGUCAGGUAGAGAAUACCAAGGCGCUUGAGAGAACUCGGGUGAAGGAACUAGGCAAAAUGGUGCCGUAACUUCGGGAGAAGGCACGCUGACAUGUAGGUGAAGUGAUUUACUCACGGAGCUGAAGUCAGUCGAAGAUACCAGCUGGCUGCAACUGUUUAUUAAAAACACAGCACUGUGCAAACACGAAAGUGGACGUAUACGGUGUGACGCCUGCCCGGUGCCGGAAGGUUAAUUGAUGGGGUCAGCGCAAGCGAAGCUCCUGAUCGAAGCCCCGGUAAACGGCGGCCGUAACUAUAACGGUCCUAAGGUAGCGAAAUUCCUUGUCGGGUAAGUUCCGACCUGCACGAAUGGCGUAAUGAUGGCCAGGCUGUCUCCACCCGAGACUCAGUGAAAUUGAACUCGCUGUGAAGAUGCAGUGUACCCGCGGCAAGACGGAAAGACCCCGUGAACCUUUACUAUAGCUUGACACUGAACAUUGAGCCUUGAUGUGUAGGAUAGGUGGGAGGCUUUGAAGUGUGGACGCCAGUCUGCAUGGAGCCGACCUUGAAAUACCACCCUUUAAUGUUUGAUGUUCUAACGUGGACCCGUAAUCCGGGUUGCGGACAGUGUCUGGUGGGUAGUUUGACUGGGGCGGUCUCCUCCUAAAGAGUAACGGAGGAGCACGAAGGUUGGCUAAUCCUGGUCGGACAUCAGGAGGUUAGUGCAAUGGCAUAAGCCAGCUUGACUGCGAGCGUGACGGCGCGAGCAGGUGCGAAAGCAGGUCAUAGUGAUCCGGUGGUUCUGAAUGGAAGGGCCAUCGCUCAACGGAUAAAAGGUACUCCGGGGAUAACAGGCUGAUACCGCCCAAGAGUUCAUAUCGACGGCGGUGUUUGGCACCUCGAUGUCGGCUCAUCACAUCCUGGGGCUGAAGUAGGUCCCAAGGGUAUGGCUGUUCGCCAUUUAAAGUGGUACGCGAGCUGGGUUUAGAACGUCGUGAGACAGUUCGGUCCCUAUCUGCCGUGGGCGCUGGAGAACUGAGGGGGGCUGCUCCUAGUACGAGAGGACCGGAGUGGACGCAUCACUGGUGUUCGGGUUGUCAUGCCAAUGGCACUGCCCGGUAGCUAAAUGCGGAAGAGAUAAGUGCUGAAAGCAUCUAAGCACGAAACUUGCCCCGAGAUGAGUUCUCCCUGAGACUUAAAGUCUCCUGAAGGAACGUUGAAGACGACGACGUUGAUAGGCCGGGUGUGUAAGCGCAGCGAUGCGUUGAGCUAACCGGUACUAAUGAACCGUGAGGCUUAACCUUACAACGCCGAAG
Molecule: ribosomal RNA, 2927 nt
Filed under: Salmonella enterica
Lineage: Bacteria; Pseudomonadati; Pseudomonadota; Gammaproteobacteria; Enterobacterales; Enterobacteriaceae
Description: 23S ribosomal RNA
Rfam family: Bacterial large subunit ribosomal RNA
Source: RNAcentral